Mercurialis annua (annual mercury) is the source of this 972-nucleotide long non-coding RNA. RefSeq lists it as uncharacterized. NCBI's taxonomy places the organism in Eukaryota, Viridiplantae, Streptophyta, Magnoliopsida, Malpighiales, Euphorbiaceae. The record is from RefSeq and is a predicted model, not a curated record. The transcript is spliced from 2 exons.
ACAAAAACAACUUCUUGUGACAUACUUAUAAUAACAUUUUUGACAUAUGUCAUCCUAAAUAAUAAAAAGCUGUUUAAGUGGUAUUUUAAGAAAUGACACUAAAAAUACAUUUUUACUUUAAUAUCUUUUUAGCUGUUGAAGAUAAAAAUCUUAUCACUAUUUAAUUUAAAUUUUAAUUUUAACUUUCAGCCUAAUUUUUCUCCACGUUCUUCAUCAAUCAUCAAUAAAACCAACCACUAACUCUUCAGUUAUCUCUUUAUUAUCGCAAAUAUUUUUCAUUAAUAGCAUCAAGAUACUAAAGGUUAAAAGUGCAUCUGAACUCUCAAUCCCACUGGGAAUCUUUUCGUUGCUCAAGUUUAAACCGAUCACACGGCGAAGAGCGCUGUCGCACCUUGCUCCAGCCCAAUUGCAACAAUCUGCAGUAGAAGUCCAGCGCAAUAAUCUUGUGGAUGUAAAUGGAUCAAAUUUUAAGCUAUUGAGGAACUGGAGUACUAACAACAAUUGCUCAUCGCUCCGGCAUAAGCCAGAAACAAGAGAAGUUACAUGGAAUGGAAGAGCAGUAUGGAAGAAAACCAUAUUAAGAAUGGAUUUUCCUUCAUUUGCAGAAGAUUAGGAGACGCUCAUGUUACUGAAGUUUGGAAGAGGUGAUUGGUCUGAUAUUUAGGUGGCACUGCAGGUCAAGAACAAUUGAUGCGGUAGUCGGAUCUAAAAUUGCAGAAUUCCCCUUGUGUCAAAUUCAAAUGGUUGUCCUUAUUAGGUUAACAUCAAAAAUAAAAAUGGUCCAUUUACAGCAAGCACCUAUAAAUUGGUGGACAUCUACAACUGAUAUUAAAUUCGGAGCUCGACGGAAUAUAGUUUGAUAGAGUUCUUUUUUUUUUCAUUCCCAUUGUAAUCUAUAAUUUUUUAAAUAAUAUUAAAAAUAUGUGUGUAACUUUUCAGAUUAUUUUUAUCAAAUAUAUGGAGCAUAUGUUA